RNAcentral lists this ribosomal RNA (464 nucleotides) under uncultured bacterium. Its description in RNAcentral is "bacterial SSU rRNA". It matches the Rfam family "Bacterial small subunit ribosomal RNA", at positions 917 to 1382 of the family's 1533-position model. The record is from RNAcentral.
GGGCCCGCACAAGCGGUGGAGCAUGUGGUUCAAUUCGACGCAACGCGAAGAACCUUACCCAGGCUUGAAGAGCGAGUGACCAUUCACGAAAGUGGACUUCCGCAAGGACACUCGUAGAGGUGCUGCAUGGCUGUCGUCAGCUCGUGUCGUGAGAUGUUGGGUUAAGUCCCGCAACGAGCGCAACCCUUGUUUGCUGUUGCCAUCACGUGAUGGUGGGCACUCUGCAAAGACUGCCGGUGAUAAACCGGAGGAAGGUGGGGAUGACGUCAAGUCAGCAUGGCCUUUAUGUCUGGGGCUACACACGUGCUACAAUGGCCGAUACAAACCGUCGCGAUACCGCAAGGUGGAGCUAAUCGGAGAAAGUCGGUCUCAGUUCGGAUAGCAGGCUGCAACUCGCCUGCUUGAAGUUGGAAUCGCUAGUAAUCGCGGAUCAGCACGCCGCGGUGAAUACGUUCCCGGGCCUU